CAGGUGGGGAGGUCACAAUAGUUUUCAGAAAAAUGGUACUGAGCCCAGGCUGGUGGGAAGCCCAGCCCCACUAGCGCGCUGCAGAUGCGUCAGGUCGUAACCACGGCAGUGGGGAAAGUGAAAGGAGGGGCGGGGGCGGGGCGUACUCAGCUCCUUCACGCAGUCGUUGACCAGCUGCUGCUCCUUCUCUUCAUAGGUGAUGGUCUCCGUCUUCAGCUGGCAGGCCUCGGAUCGAAGUACAACGUUUUCCUCUUCAAGGUCCUUCAGCUUCUUCUGGAGAGAAUCCAGAUGGAAGUAAUUCUGGACGGAGGAGGACGACUCAUUCCUCUUCAAC
Molecule: non-coding RNA, 334 nt
Organism: Vicugna pacos (alpaca)
Lineage: Eukaryota; Metazoa; Chordata; Mammalia; Artiodactyla; Camelidae
Source: RefSeq, a predicted model, not a curated record